Molecule: small nucleolar RNA, 107 nt
Organism: Macadamia integrifolia
Lineage: Eukaryota; Viridiplantae; Streptophyta; Magnoliopsida; Proteales; Proteaceae
Source: RefSeq, a predicted model, not a curated record
AGGCUAUGGUGAGGGCAUUCUUGGAGUAGAUCCUUGAAUCUCUCCAAAAGUAUAAAAAAGGACUCACUAGGCUUUUGCCUAAAUUGAAGGAUAUCAAUUCUAAGCUU